GCCACUCGAAACAUUGAAGGAGCGAGCCCAAUGCUAAUCCCACCACUCUCAUGGCCAAGCCUUCUCCAGGACAGCUCCUCCUUCCAUGCCCGAAAGGCAUCAACUUGAACUCGUCUCUUCCCCCCUCCGGGUUGUCGAACCUCUCAGGUCUGAAUUUUGUAGGGUCUGGCCAGAUUUUAGGGUCAUUUUGAAUGGCCCAAUUAUUUACAGAGAGCAUCGUGCCCCGUGGAAUGCGGAAUCCCCCAACCAGGCAUUCUUCUGAUGACUCAUGAGGUACUAGCAACGGAGCUGGCGGGUACAUCCGUAACGUCUCGUUGAGGAUGCUGCGGAGGUAGGGAAGGCGUGCAAGAUCAGCUUCAUCCAUGAAACGAUCAUGCCCAAUCUGCUCGUCGAUUUCUCCCUGAGCCUUCUCGAGGACUUGGGGAUGGUUGAGCAACAGUGAAAGUGCCCAUUCCAUUGUAGCAGAUGAAGUGUCUGUUCCCGCCAACAAGAGCACCUGCAAACCAAACCAAAUUGUGGUGUAAUUAAUUCCAUAGACGAUGCAAGCAGUGGAGAUAUCUUGUAGAAAUAAAUAAAUAAAAGACGAUGCAAAGAAAAUCACCAAAGUGACCUCCUACACCCUUGUCAGUUCAAUGCACCUUGGUUGUGUCUUAUGAGUUAUGACUUGAAUAUUCUAAUUCACAGGUUUGCCAUUGCGCAUUUCAUUAACCAUUAUCUUGACAAAAGCUACAUGAUCCAAAGACAAAAAAUGUCCCUUCUUCCACGCAAAGUAGCGGUGUCCGUACUAACUUCCAUUAUCUAUAUAAUUGGUGAUAACAUUAGUCCAUUAAACAUCUCAAUGUUAAAAUGGCUACUUAAUGUUAACAUUUUAAAGCUACAAGAUUCCUCUUACAAAAUAACUAGUCCAUUUAAAAAGAUCGAUAGACAAAAACAUGUCCCUUCAAUGAUUCACAUUACAAUAUAAUGAAGAACAUUUGACAAUUCUGAAUUAUGAUCUAAACAAAAAAGAACAGUGCUGCAUAUCGGUAUCCCAACUCAAUUGAUCAUAAUAAUUAGUAAAUCAAACAACAUGAUUAAACAUCUUACCAGUAUAAUCCCUUUGAUGACAUCGUCCGAGUAAUACCCAGAUUCCGUUUCUUGCAGGGACAGCAGAACCUGAAUCAAAUUCGUUUUCUUUUCGCCACAACAAUCACUCUCCACUAUUUUUCUCCGCUGCUCUUCUAUCAAGUACUGCAUGAAACUAUCGCUCUUUAGAUGGCACUCUGUCAAUCUCUUCUCCAUCUUUUUUGAUUUAAUCCACGGUAUAAAGUCUCCAAUAAUGGUUUUGCCACCUAGCAAGAAGCUUUCAGCAUGAAUUGCGCGAAACCUUUUUGCUUCUUCCACAUCAGAAACAUCCUCUCCAUAAUAUCUCUUUCCAGCUAUCAUCCGCAUCAUUAUAUUCAGUGUCAAUUCGAAGAAAACUGUCUUCAUAUCUACAAUCUGAUUUUGAUUACGAAAGAGAACACAAAUCAUUGACUUCACCUCCUCCAGACGUAUGGCAGAGAGCAUUUGGAGGCGGUGUGCAGACAGGACUUCAAUAGAGACGAUUCUCCUAAGGUUUCGCCAGUGGUCGCCAUAGGGAGCCCAAGCAAGGCUUGUGCUGUUGUAGGCGAGGUGUUUUGCAAUGAGCAAACGUGGGCGGUUUGCAAAGACAACAUCAUUUUUGGUAAAGCAUUCUUCAGCUAUCGAAGGGGAUGAGACAACAAGUUGUCGACGAGACCCGAGUUGGAGCAAGAUUACGGGGCCAUGUUUACUAGAGAUUUUUGAUAGUGUCCUGUAAAUUGGCUUCUUAAGUAGGUAGAGAUGGCCAAUGAUUGGUAGUGAAGGGAAUGGACUCGGUGGGAAGUUUCUUAUCUUGUUUAGGAAGUGCGCUGUUAUGAUAUACAAGGCUAAAAACACAGGAAAGUAGAGAAAGAAGGUUGCCAUGGAUUUGGCAAUAGCCACUGCCACUGUCCUUGUUUUUUAGGGAGGUGUGUGAAUUAUAUUGUGCGUGUCUUGAUGAGAGCAUCUAUAUGUUAAUUAUUUCAUACUAGGAGUCACGGAAAUGAAAGAAACAGAAUUGAAAUUUCUUGAGGUCGAGUCUGCUCGUCUUAUCUCAUCGAUAUAAAAAGCAACUAUGGACGUGAUGACUGAUGAGGUCAGUGCAGACGUGUCUGUAUUGAACUAGUUACGUGCGAAGUUAUUAAACGGGACACGACACGAGCUUUUGGUAAUGACUAAUGAGUUAAAUAUUAAGCAUAACAUGCGUUUGAAGAUUUUUUUAAAAUAUUAAAUAUAAUAUUGUUUAAAUUUCUUUUCAAAAAAUAAUUUUUAUAUGGUUAAUUCAAUUAAAAGUUGACUUAUCAAGUCAGAAAUUCAUUCGACACUUAGCGCAGGAGCUAGAAACCAAAACAUAUAUAGAUCAUGCAAGGAACGCCAUAAUCAACUAACAGCUACGAUCUCUAGAGAGAAUUAGUUGCCAAGUUGGGAAAUCACAUGUAUCCCUUCCAAAGGUGCCCAGAGGACGGGGCAGACGCAUCAGAGCGACAACCCGGGAGCGGAUUCCCUACCGGCAAGGGGGCAGGAGACGGUCAUCUCGAGGCACAUCACGACCUACAGGCAAGAUCGACGAGGCUAGUGGAGGUCACGACCCACGGCAAGGUGGCCUUCCACGCAGUCACUAUAUCUAUAUGAAUAUCGUUCUUGAACUUCUAGAGCUAGCCCAGUCCAAAAGAGGCUAGUGAAGGUCACAUGAAUGGAAAGCCCUUGAUUCCUAAUUUAAAAAAAAAAAAACAAAAAAACCAAAGAUUUCUUGCUUUUAUUGCCAAAUCGUAUGUGAACAAAUUUUAUUUGCUGCAAUGCUCCCUUGUUUUCUAAAAUCUUAGUCAUUUCGCAAGUGGCACUUAUGAAAAUUCUUCCUUUUUCAAAUUAUAUACAAAAGCAUGGUAGUGUCUCCAUUCUCCACAAGUCUCAACUUACGAGAGCAGGUGCUAUCUGCUAGAUUAGAAAAAGGCAUGGCAAUGUCUGAAAGAACAAGGCAAAUUCAACUGAUAAAAAACUACCGAAGCAAAGAGACUGUGAACAAAUGGCAAGAGUAAAGGUUUCCCUACUUUUUUUUAUGCAGCAUAUAAAUGGAGGGAGGAUAUAUGAUACGUGGCAGUUAUUCUUUCGAUCACAAGUGAAAUGGAAGGCAGCCAUUUUUUUUUUUAUAAGCAAAAGGUAAUAAAGCCCAAGAAAGGCACAAACCAUAGCCAUGUGAUAAUAUGGAAACUGUCAUAAUCUAUUUUUCAAUUAUUUUUUAAAUUUACUUUUAAAAAUAAAUAUAUAACAUAAAAUAAAAUAAAAACUUGUGAUAUGGAGAAAACAUAUCAAAAAGGAUCCCAAACAUAUAGGAAAAUAAAGUUGCAAUUUUAGAUAAAUUUUGAGGCCUGAUUAUACAUCAUUAUACCCAGGAUUGAAGAUACAAUGCAGAUUCAAGGUCAAAUUAAAUAAUUACUGGAUGAAUUUGUAUAAAAAUUAAAUCCAAUGAUAUAAUUAAAUUUUUAAUAAACCCAUUCGAUUUAAUCAUGAGUCAAAUUAAAGUUUAAUUAUGUUUGAGAAUUAAUUUGGGUCCAAUUGAAGAAUUUAAUUAGGUGCAAGGACGUAAUUAAAUUUUAAAUGAGUCAAAUUAAUUUUAUUAAGGGUUUAGUUAGUGAAAACUUAAUUUUGGAAGCCUAAUUUGGGUUUAAUUGAAAAUAUUAGAAUUUUAGGAAAUCAAAUUUAAUUUUUACAAAAUCAAUUGAUUGAAAUCAUGGAUAAAAUAAAAUAAAGUUUUCAGGUUGGGUAGGGGAUAAAUUAAAGAAUUUUAUAGCUAAUGAUCAAUUUACAAAAGUCGUCGAACUAUAAAAGCUUAAUUCAUUGCAAUCGAGGUGAAAAUAAAGAAAUUAAAAGUUUCAUGGUUAAUUAGGUGCACAAUUAUAUAAAUCCGAGAUCAAUGACUAAAAUGAAAACAACAUAAAAUGAGGUCUGAUAUUAUAAUUCAACGGGGCCUAAAUUAUAUUAAAUCCAAAGUUUAGGGUUAAUUAAAUGUACAAUUAAAGAAAUCAAAAGUCAAAUGACCAAAAAGAACUUUGACUAAAAUUUAUAAUUCAAACAUAAAACAAUGACAUUUCAAAUUAAAAAAAUAAAAAACCAAACAUCAUUAACAAUACUCUAAAAGACAUGGAAAUGUAUUGUAGCUUCUCCCAUGCCUUUUAUUUUCGUUGUACUAAUAUCUUUAUUUUUUUUGUCUUUAAAUUCCUCACGCCUUUUAUUUUUGUUGUACUAAUAUAUAUAUAUAUAUAUAUUUUUACAUGUUUUCCCCCCAUGAUUCACUUCUUUUUAAAAAAAAUUAUAUGUUUUUUUCAAAAUUAUUUUUGCUGAUUGUUUUUUAAUAUUAAACUAGUUGAGAAUUUCGCUCUGUUAUUUAAAACAAAACAUUGUAAAUUGAUAAGGUAUUUUCCUCACAUGGUUUUUCUUUUGCUACAAUAUCUCUUUAUAUGGUUUUUUUUUCAAAAUUCUCUUUGUUGAUUUUUUUUUUAAUAUUGAGCUGGUUAACAAUUUAUCUUUAACUUUCCCCGCAUGUUUUUUUCUUUAUUUUUUGUUUUUUUAUUUUUUUCCCAAAAUUGUGUUAUUUUUUCUGUGUGUUUUUUUUUAGAAUUGUUUUUGUCGACUUUAUUUUUUUAAUAUUGAACUGGUUGAGAAUUUAGCUUUAUAGAUUUUUCAUUAAAACACUGUUGAUUGCUAUAGUGUUUUUCCAUAUGGUUUUGUUUUUCCAGAAUUGUCUUUGUUAAUUUUAGUUUUUUUCAUAUUUAGCCGAUUGAUAAUUUAGAUUUGUAGUUUUUUUCUUAAAAAAAAAAAACAUUGUGGAUCGUUACAAUAUUUAUCUACAUGAUUUUUCCUUGCUACAAUGUUUUUUCACAUGUUUUUUUAUCAAUUUUUUUCAAAUUUAUCUUUGUCAAAUUUAUUUUUUCUAUAUUAAGUUAGUUGAAAAUUUAGUUUUGUAGCUUUUUUCUUCAAAACACCGUUGAUUGCUAAAGUGUUUCCUCACAUGAUUGAUUUUUGUUAUAAUUAUUUUCAAAAAUUUCUUUAUCGAUUUUAUUGUUUUUAAUAUUGAACUGAUUGAAAAUUACAACUGUAGAUUUUCUCAUGAAACACUGUAGAUUACUACAGUGUUUUCAUGCAUAGUUUUUUUUUUCCUUUCGUUUUUAAUUUUUUUUUAAAAUUAUCUUUAUUGAUUUAUUUUUGUAAUAUCGAGUUGGUUGAUAAUUACAACUGUAUAUUUCAUCACAAAAUAUUUUAGAUUGCUGCAGUGUUUUUUCUACAUAAUUAUUUUUUCUUUUGUUUUUUUUAUGAUUUUUUUCAAAAUUAUCCUUGUUUAUUUUUUUUUUAAUAUUAAACUGGUUAGAAAUUUAGCUUUGUAGUUUAAUUUUUCUUGAAAAUAUUGUGGAUUGUAAUAGUAUUUCUCUAUGUAAUUAUUUUUUAUGAUUUUUUCUAUAAAUGCAUAAUAACAUAUAAACAUGCUAUAAAUCCACGGCAGCACGCGGCCAUGGCAACUAGUAUCAUCUCGAUACUGUUUAUUAUCUUUAUAUUAUUAUUAUUCACCUAAAAAGCCAUAGGAUGCAUGCUUGGGCGUGCCCUACAUCUAGCUUGCAGUGGUUUUGCCUUUGUACUGGUAAACCCGGGCCCCUCGGUCAUAUCCACCAUUUUAUCACCAAUCUUCUGCCAACCGAAACAUUGAAGGAGCGAGCCCAAUGCUAAUCCCACCACUCUCAGGGCCAAGACUUCUCCAGGACAGCUCCUCCUUCCAUGCCCGAAAGGCAUCAACUUAAACCCGUCUCUUCCCCCCUCCGGGUUGUCGAACCUCUCAGGUCUGAAUUUUGUAGGGUCUGGCCAGAUUUUAGGGUCAUUUUGAAUGGCCCACAUAUUUACAGAGAGCAUCGUGCCCCGUGGAAUGCGGAAUCCUCCAACCAGGCAUUCUUCUGAUGACUCAUGAGGUAGUAGCAACGGCGCUGGCGGGUACAUCCGCAACGUUUCGUUGAGGAUGCUGCGGAGGUAGGGAAGGUGGGCAAGAUCAGCUUCAUCCAUGAAACGAUCAUGCCCAAUCUGCUCGUCGAUUUCUCUUUGAGCCUUCUCGAGGACUUGGGGAUGGUUGAGCAACAGUGAAAGUGCCCAUUCCAUUGUAGCAGAUGAAGUAUCUGUUCCCGCCAACAAGAGGACCUACACACCAAACCGAAUAGUGGUAAUUAAUUCCAUAGACGAUGCAAAGAAAGUCACCAAAGUGACCUCCCACUCCCUUGUCAAUUCACAAUGGUGGUGUAACUUGACACGGAAACAACUUCUAGCAGUGGAGGUAUCUUACUGCUUGUAGAAAUAUCAAAUAAAGAUGAUGCAAAUCAAAUCACCAGAGUGAUCUCCCACACCCUUGUCAAUUCAAUACACCUUGGUUGCGUCUAUUUCUAAUACAUAAAGUUUGGUGCUAUACAUUAGACUUGUGAGUCACCUAAUCUCAAGGCAAUUAGACUUAGCAUGCUAAGUUCUAAGUGAAGUAGGUCUAAUUGAUAUUUAUUUUUCAUUCAGUAUUAUCAAUAAUUACAAUGCAAUUCCUCAUAUUUUACAUAAAAACAAGAUUUAGAAGCUAUAUAUACAUGAUAAAUGCUUCAUAAAAAAGUUUAUAUUUUUCAAUUCUCUACUCCUUUAAUAUUUGAAAUUUAUCACCGAAUGAUUUUUAAGUUCCUCCAAUUAAAAUUGUUUUUUUAGUAUUCAAGACUAUCUUUGUAAAUUUAAAGUUUUUUAAAUUUAAAAACAUUUGAAUACCUUAACUUAAUAAUUAACUCCUGUCCCAAAAACUAAAUAAACUAUUAAUUUAUAUUGAAAAUUUUAAUAUUUAACAUGUCAAUGUUAAAAAGGUUACUUAAUGUCAACAUUUUAAAGCUACAAGAUUCCUCUUACAAAAUAACCAGUCCAUUUAACAAGAUCGAAAGAAAAAACAUGUCCCUUCAAUGAUUCACAUUAUAAUACAAUGAAGAACAUUUGACAAUUCUGAAUUAUGAUCUAAACAUAAAAGAACAGUGCUGCAUAUCGGUAUCCCAACUCAAUUGAUCAUAAUAAUUAGUAAAUCAAACAACAUGAUUAAAGAUCUUACCAGCAUAAUCCCUUUGAUGAGAUCGUCCGUGUAAUACCCAGGUUCAGUUUCUUGCAGGGACAGCAGAACCUGAAUCAAAUUCGUUUUCUUUUCGCCACAACAAUCACUCUCCACUAUUUUUCUCCGCUGCUCUUCUAUCAAGUACUGCAUGAAACUAUCGCUCUUUAGAUGGCACUCUAUCACUCUCUUCAACAUCUUUUCUGAUUUAAUCCACGGUAUAAAGUCUCCAAUAAUGGUUUUUCCACCUAGCAAUAGGGUUUCAGCAUGAAUUGCUCGAAACCUUUUUGCUUCUUCAACAUCAGAAACAUCCUCUCCAUAAUAUCUCUUUCCAGCUAUCAUCCGCAUCAUUAUAUUCAGUGUCAGUUCGAAGAAAACUGUCCUCAUAUCUACAAACUGGUUCUGAUUACGGAAGAGAACACAAAUCAUUGACUUCACCUCCUCCAGACGUAUGGCAGAGAGCAUUUGGAGGCGGUGUGCAGACAAGACUUCAAUAGAGACGAUUCUCCUAAGGUUUCGCCAGUGGUCGCCAUACGGAGCCCAAAGAAGGCUUGUGGUGUUGUAGGCGAGGUGUUUUGCAAUGAGAUAGCCUGGGCGGUUUGCAAAGACAACAUCAUUUUUGGUAAAGCAUUCUUCAGCUAUCGAAGGGGAUGAGACAACAAGUUGUCGACGAGACCCGAGUUGGAGCAAGAUUACGGGGCCAUGUUUACUAGAGAUUUUUGAUAGUGUCCUGUAAAUUGGCUUCUUAAGUAGGUAGAGAUGGCCAAUGAUUGGUAGUGAAGGGAAUGGACUCGGUGGGAAGUUUCUUAUCUUGUUUAGGAAGUGCGUUGUUAUGAUAUACAAGACUAAAAACACAGGAAAGUAGAGAAAGAAGGUUGCCAUGCAUUUGGCAAUGGCGUCGGUUUCUUUUUUGUUAUUAUUAAUAUGGGAGUCUGGAUUUAGAAAGUUACCUUAAAUUGUUUUGUGCGUGUCUUGGUACUAGGAGGCACAGUAAUGAAAGUAACAGGGUUGAAAUUUCUUGUGGUCGAGCAUGCUUGGCUUAUCUCAUCAUAUUAAAAGCAACGAUGGACGUGUUGAGGCCAGUGCUGACGUAUUUGUAUUGAACUAGUUACCUGCGAAGUUAUUAAACGGGACACAACACGAAUUUUUGGUAAUGAGACAGGCUAGGUGGAGCAUGUAGUAUUUAUUCUUAAAUACAUACAUACAUACAUACAUACACACACACGUAAAUAUACAUAUUAAAAUAACUUUUUUAUUUCUAAAAUUUAUUUUUAAUAUUAAUAUUGUCCCAUUCGACAUUACAACGACCUAUAAAACAAAUUAAUUCAAAAAAAAAUAAAAAUUGAUAUCUUGUUUUUAAAUAAAAAAAAAUUUAAUUCAAAGAGUUGUUAUCUAGUAUUAUAUUCACUAAAAAAUCUAAUUGGUUAUGAUAAAUAAUCGUGUUGAAAGAUUAUUUUCUUAUUGAUAUUAUGUUGAAUGGAUGUAUCAAAAGAUUAUUUCAUGAUUAAUUAAAAUAAUAUCAUAUUAAAUAAACAUGUUGAAAGAUUAUUUCAUGAUUAAUAAAAAUAAUAUUUUAUUGAAUAGACGUGUUGAAAAAUUAUUUUUUAUUAAUAAAAAAAAUCCCUUGUUAAAUGAGCAAGUAAAUUAUUAUUUUAUGAUAAAUGAAAAUAGUGUACUAAUCAAUGAGCUGAGAAUGUUAUUUUCUAAUUAAUGAGUAUAAUUCCUAGUAAAGAUUGGCAUUGAGGUUAAUAUAUUGAUGAUAAGUUACUUCAUUCAAUCAACGAUGCAGUGAAUGCGUUUUUAAGCAUGAAUUAAAUUGUUUUUUUGAUUGUUUAUUAGUAAAUUUUAAUAUUACCUAGGUAUAUAUACAUUCCAUAUGAAUAUGUUUUUAUAUAUCUGCACUCUUUAGUUGGGAAGUAGAUGUAUUGAUGAAAGUUUUUUUAUAGAAUUAAUUAUGUAUUUGAAGAAAUUAAUAUUUUAUUGUUAUGUAACCUGUUGUUUAAAAUUUUAAAUGUUUAAAUUAUAUUUUAUAUACGAUGUAAUUGAGGAUAUUACCUCAUUGAGGUAGCAUAUAAUUUUGUUGCACGUCAAAUUAAACAUGUCUAUUUUUUAAAGAAAUUGAUGCUUGCUGUGAACUAAUCAAUUUUAAAAUUUAGUUUUAUGGAAUAUUAUAAUGCUAACUCAAAAAAAAAAAAAAACAAGAAGAAGAAGAAGAAGAAGUUGAUAUUGUAGUUGAGUUGUGAAGUUAGUAUAACGAGACGAGCAUUGUCAUUAUUAUCUGUAGGUUAAAUUUUUUUUCAAGUCAAUAAUUUAUUAUUAAAAAUACAAAAAAACUUUACUGAAAUUCUAAUAUAUAUAAAAAAUCACACCCAGUAAAAUCAACACAUGUAUAUAUACAUACAUACAUAUAUAUAUUUAUUUAUAUAUGCUUUUUUUUUGGGCUGUUACACAAGGUGUACCGAAAGAAACCCCACCGGAUCCGAGGCUUGUCGUAUUGAGAUAUUGUCGGGCGCCAAGUUUACUGACUACUCACCUACCAGUACGCUGUGCCUUACCGUUAGAGAUCUUUGGAUGGUUUAGGAAGAGUGAUAUUUUCUAGUUUAAUUAUUUUCCAGUACGUGGCCUUGGCCCAGCAAGGUUUGUACAAUUGUAGGCGAGGUGUUUUGCAGCAGCAAAAGAGGGCUGUUUGCAAAGACAACAUUAGAGGCCAAGGCCCACGGGCCAGGCACACUCCUAGUGGCUGGGCUCGAACAGAGGGUGUUGGAUGUUUGCCCACCACUUCGGCUCGUACACUCGGCCAGCACCUGGGCUCGGUCAUGUUUCCCGAUUCUUAAAGGAAUGUGAAUUUAGUAAUUGAUGCUGUAAUUAUUAUGGAUUUAUGCUAAAAGUGAACAUCUUUUUAUAAGAGUCAAUCGAGUAAAACUAGCUGAAUUACUUUUUUUAUGCCCAAAUUAAACUUAAAAAAAGGUUGUUGUUUUGGAAUUUUCUUUAUUAUUAUUGGAUUUUUUUACUUGAUUAGGUUUGAAAUAUUUAUUUAUUUUAUAUUUUAUUAGUUAUGUUAGUUUGGCUUAUUAUUUAAAACAAUCUUGCAAAUCAUUGAUAUUCAAAACCUGUUAAAUUAAAAUUCUCUUUACAGCUUACCUGUAAUUUUAGAGUUUACCAGUCAAUUGCUUACACACUAUCCUGAGAAGAUGUAAUGUUAUUAUGCGUAUACAAACUCGGCGAGUUAUUAUGGUGAUUUCAAUCUUUAAACCGAACUAAAUUUUAAAAUAAAUAAUGAGAAAAUUUAUUUAAUUUAACAUGGUUGACUUGUUUACCGCACUCAUUAUUUAGUUAAUCUGGCCAAAACAUAAAUUUAAUUUUGUUCUUAUUUUAGGAACGAAGAGGAUUUAGAUUUAAUUUUUUUUAAAAAAAAAACUGCUUAUAAUGUUUUAUCAUAUUGUAUAUUCACAACACUCCAAUUUCCUUAUGUCUUGCAUACAUGUACAAUUGUGCAAAUUGACUGCCACCCAAAAAGUAGCAAAUCAAUGCAGGCAGGAUGUAUGACACGUGACUGUUAUUCUUUCCAUUAGAAGUGAAAUAGGAGGGAAGUAGUUCAACACUUCAACUGAUAGUUAUUGGAUGAGGGAGAGUAAGAUAAUAAUUAUUUUUAGUAGUUAUAAAUUUAUUAAAAAUGUAUUUUUUUUUUAAAUAUUAAUAUAUUAAAAUUAUUUUAAAAAACUAAAAAAUAAAUUUCAAUAAAAAUCAAAUUUUAAUGAAAAAUAAAUUACUCUGCAACUCAAACAAGAUCUAGGACAGGUUUGUUUUUUAUAAAAUGGUUUUCGAGAAACUAUUUUCCAAACUUUUAUGUGUUUGUUUGCCAUUAAAGAAGUUGGUCAAUGAAAAACAUUUUCCAGUUAAAGAAAAAUUUUACUUAGUUUCUAGAAAAGUGUUUUCCUGAAAAAUUUGAAUAGAAAACACUUUUUGGAAGUUAUGAAAAAUUUAGAAAUGUCAUAUUAUUUGCUGAUUAUAUCAAAUUUGGUCCUCAAACUUUUAAUUGUUAUAUAUAUUUUGUUUUGAAUAUUUAUUUUUCAAUCUCAUCUUCUAAAAUUUAAUUUUUAUAUUAAUUUUGGUACUUAUUUUUAUAAUUAUUAUUUGUUUUUUACUUGUCAUUUUUUAUUGAAAUUUUUUAUUGAAAUUUUUUAUCUAUCAAAUUUUGGUACUCAUUCUUUUGAUUGUUACUUAUUUUAUUUGAAAUAAAUUAUGAAUGUUAAUUAUUAUUAUUUUAAUUUAUUCAUCUUUUAUUUUUUUUUAUUAGAUUAAAUUUCUAUUAUUUUGAUUAUUAUUUAUUUUAUUUGAGAUAAUUUAUAAAAUUAUAUUUUUUUUCAAUUUCAUUAUUAUUGAACUUUUUAAUUUGUAAAAUUUAUUUCUCAUUAUUUUAAUAAACUUGAAAAAAAUAAAAUAUCAAUAAGCUAUUUUACAGCUCAUUUUCUAUGAUAUAACCAAAUACUAAAAAGUAUUUUUUAAUUUAUUUUUUAUUACACUAACAAACAUCAAAAAAUAAUUUAUUUUUAAAAAAAAAAAAAAUUUUUAAAAAAACUAUUCUUUAGCAAACAAAAUGCCUAAAAAUAUUUGGGAUUGAGUUGCCGUGAAGUGAGGUUAGAUUUUUUUUGCAGUACGAUCCCUUUUGAAACACAAAUAUCAAGAAAAUCCACACCCACUGAAAAUUAAAAACACAUACUCUUUAUUAAUUUUUUUUAAAAUCCCAUAAAAAAACAAAUCCUUAUCUUGCCUCACCCAAAUCCAAAAGACACCUUAUAAUGCUUAGGUUAUGCAGGCCACGUAACCUAUAGGUAGAGUCACAUCAAGAUAUCAAUCAAAAGUCAUGGAAGAAUAUAUGGUUCAUAUUUGAGAAAGAAGCGGAAGCAUGCGUGGGCGUGCCCUACAUAGAGCUUCUAGUGGUUUUGCCUUCGGAACGGUGAACCCGGGACUCUCGGUCAUGUCCACCAUUUUAUCACCAAUCCUCUGCCACUCGAAACAUUGAAGGAGCGAGCCCAAUGCUAACCCCACCACUCUCAGGGCCAAGCCUUCUCCAGGACAGCUCCUCCUUCCAUGCCCGAAAGGCAUCAACUUGAACUCGUCUCUUCCCCCCUCCGGGUUGUCGAACCUCUCAGGUCUGAAUUUUGUAGGGUCUGGCCAGAUUUUAGGGUCAUUUUGAAUGGCCCACGUAUUUACAGAGAGCAUCGUGCCCCGUGGAAUGCGGAAUCCUCCAACCAGGCAUUCUUGUGAUGACUCAUGAGGUACUAGCAACGGAGCUGGAGGGUACAUCCGCAACGUUUCGUUGAGGAUGCUGCGGAGGUAGGGAAGGUGGGCAAGAUCAGCUUCAUCCAUCAAACGAUCAUGCCCAAUCUGCUCGUCGAUUUCUCUUUGAGCCUUCUCGAGGACUUGGGGAUGGUUAAGCAAAAGUGAAAGUGCCCAUUCCAUUGUAAUAGAUGAAGUGUCUGUUCCCGCCAAUAAGAGCACCUGCAAGCCAAUAGGCAGUGGAGAUAUCUUAUUCUAGCUGGUGUAACUUGACACGGCAACAACUUCUAACAGUGGAGAUAUCCUACUGCUUGAAUAUUCUAAUACACAAGUUUGCUAUUGCGCAUUUUCAUUUUCUUGACAAAAGGAAGAUCCAAAGACAAGAUAAUGAAAAUUUAACAAUCCUGAAUUAUGACUUAAACAUUAAAGAAAAGUGCUCCAUUAUGAUAUCACUACUCAAUUGAUCAUAAUAAUCAGUAAAUCAAACAACAUGAUUAAAGAUCUUACCAGCAUAAUCCCUUUGAUGAUAUCGUCCGUGUAAUACGCAGGUUCAGUUUCUUGCAGCGACAGCAGAACCUGAAUCAAAUUCUUUUUCUUUUCGCCACAACAAUCACCCUCCAAUAUUUUUCUCCGUUGCUCUUCUACCAAGUACUGCAUGAAACUAUCCCUCUUUAUAUGGCAUUCUAUCAGUCUCUUCUCCAUCUUUUUUGAUUUAAUCCACGGUAUAUAGUCUCCAAUAAUGGUUUUUCCACCUAACACGAAGGCUUCAGCAUGAAUUGCUCGAAACCUUUUUGCUUCUUCCACAUCUGAAACAUUCUCUCCAUAAUAUCUUUUUCCAGCUAUCAUCCGCAUCAUGAUGUUCAGUGUCAGUUCGAAGAAAACUGUCUUCAUAUCUACAAUCUGACUCUGAUUACGAAAGAGAACACAAAUCAUUGACUUCACCUCCUCCAGACGUAUGGCAGAGAGCAUUUGGAGGCGGUAUGCAGACAAGACUUCAAUAGAGACGAUCUUCCUAAGGUUUCGCCAGUGGUCGCCAUAGGGAGCCCAAGCAAGGCUUGUGCUGUUGUAGGCGAGGUGUUUUGCGAUGAGCAAACGUGGGCGAUUAGCGAAGACAACAUCAUUUUUUGUAAAGCAUUCCUCAGCUAUGGAAGGGGAUGAAACAACAAGUAGUCGACGAGAUCCGAGUUGGAGCAACAAUACAGGGCCAUGUUUACUAGAGAUUUUUGAUAGUGUCCUGUAAAUUGGCUUCUUCAGUAGGUAGAGAUGGCCAAUGAUUGGCAGUGAAGGGAAUGGACUAGGUGGGAAGUUUUUUAUCUUGUCUAGGAAGUGCCUUGUUAUGAUAUACAACGCUAAAAUCACAAGAAAGUAGAGAAUCAAGGUUGCCAUGGAUUUGUGAAUGGCCACUGUUCUUGUUUUUUAGGAAGGUGUAUGAAUUAUAUUGUGCUAUGCAUCGAGACUAUCCAGAUACCCAUUACUUUAGUACAGUAUUCGAAUCCAAUAAAUUCUCAAAAGUCGUCCAUGCCUGUCUACUCUCACCAUUUAAAAAAGGGUACUAUGGACGUGAUGAGGUCAGUGCAAACGCAUUACUGGUGAACUAGUGACAUGCACAGUUUCUAAGACCUUUUUAAACAUACUUGUCUGAUAUGAGAGGCAUGUUUUUUUAUAAAAAAAAAUUAAUAUAUAAUAUAAUCUGAAUUAAUAUAUAAAUUUAUUUUAAAAUAUCAUUUAAUAUCAAAUAAAAAAUAUUAGAAGAUAAGCUUUUUAUAAAAUACAAUUUGAAAAAAAAAUUAUUUUAUUUUUUAAAAAGUUAAGCGAAUCCACGGCAGUCUAAAAAAAUAAUUUUAUUGGUGUUUGAUUUUUUUAAAAUAAAAUUCUUUAAUUCUAUUUAAAUAAAGUUUUUUUUUUAAAAAAUAAAUAAAGCACAGCCCUUUAAAAAGAAGUUCGGGAGUCUGGCCUGAUGGACACCAAUAACCAUAGCUGUGUAAAGCAACCGUCCAGUCUAGCAUGUUGACUCAGAAAACUGAAAUUUAGAAUCCGAUUCAGACAGGUUUUCUAGUUUAAUGAUACAAGACACGACUGCACUUAUAUAGAGGAUUUUUCUAAGGUUUCGCCAGUAGUCCCCACGAGGAGGCCAAGCAAGGUUUGUAAAGCACCUUGCUUGCAGGGCCAUGUUGACAAGGAAAUUUGGACCAAAAAAAAAGGUUUGUAAAGCACUCUUCAGCUAUUGAAGGGGGCGAGUCGAAAAGAGCUCUACGGGAACCGAAGGGGAGCAAGAUUGCAGGGCCAUGCAUGUUGACAAGCAAAUUUGGACAAGUGUCCAGUAAAUUGAUUUCUAAUGGAGGUAGAGAUGGCGGAGACUGGUGGCGCAGGGAAUGGACUUGGUGGGAGAGGGAGGUUUCGGAACGAGGACAAAAAACUGAGUGAAUAAAAUAGAUGCUAGAAAGAUAGCAGGCAGAAAGCGACAGCAAAAAAAGACAAAAAUUAUUAUAGCAAAAACAUAAUAGUAUUUCCCAUUAUCGAGUGUUGAAGAUAUUGUCAAAUAUAGUAAAAAGACAAAAAUUAUUAUAGCAAAAACAUAAUUGUAUUUGCUUGCUUAAACGAAUACUGUUACAUCAUGGUACUAUAUAUAUUACAAUUCUUGAUUAAAACAAUAUUAUAAUUAAGAAUGUAAUGAAUGAGAAGAUAUAUAUUUAAUUUCUAGAAUAUUUGUUGUAGAUAUAAUCAUAAUCAUUUUUAGUAUAAGUAAUUUCUUGUAUAGAUAUAAUUAAAAAUCAUGAUUAUUUUCAAUAUCAGUGAUCCCUGAUCAUGAUAGUAAUUUUUUAUCAUAAUUAUCUUUAAUAUCGAUAAUCUCUUGUGUGUUUAUGAUAUUAUCUUCAAUAUCAAUAAUCAUUGAUUAUAAUUAUUUUCAGUAUCAAUAAUAAUUUCUUAUACAGAUAUAAACAAAGAUCAUGAUUAUCUUUAGUAUUAGUGAUCCUGAUCAUGAUAAUAAUCCCUGAUUAUGAUUAUCUUCAAUAUCAAUAUUAUCUUCAGUGAAUUUGAUAAUAUCUUCAACCUAUUGUGCUAAAUAAUGAAUAUGCCCAAAAUAUUGUUGGUAAGCUCUUAGAUCUUAGAAGCAUCAAAUAUUUUUGCUUUGUUUUGAUUUAAGAAUCUAAAUUGAUUUUUUUACUCGUUAAUCAUUUGUUGAUUGUAUAUAUGAUAGUGGGUUUAAUAAGAGCUAGUACAUGCAAAAGAUAGAAUAAAAAAAAAGGUUGAUGAUCUUUGAGUUGAUUGGCUCCAUAUAAAUCAUUGCAUUGCAUAUCUUCGGACUUCAUUUAAAAGCUUAAGCUUUUAGAUUGAAAUAGUUAUUUGAUAUGAUAUUAGAGUCUUGAUGACUAAACGAUCACGAGUUUAAACCCAAAGGGUUUUUACUUAAAAGGAUGUAUUAAAAAAUAAUAUAAAUUAUAUCCUGGAAUCUCAUAUAAAAACUUAAGCUUUUAGAUUGCAAUGUAAUGUUAAAAUUAUUUUUAAAAUAUUUUUUAUUUAGAAAUAUAUUAAAAUAAUAUUUUUUUAAUUUUAUUUUUAAUAUCCAAACAUGAAAAUAUUAUAAAAAUACAUUUUUUUAUAUAAAAAAAACAGGUUAUCUCAGCAUAAUCAAGAUAGAUAUGAUAGAAUAAUUCAAAGUUAGAAAUUUGAAACACGUGGAUGAUAAAGAAAAGGUCUCCUCGAGAAUUUUCUUUUCGUAGAGGCGUGUCGUUGGUUUCUAGGAUCAGGUUGCUAUGAAUUUAUGCACUAGAUUUGGAAAAGUUAUUAUUCCCUUUCAAUUAUAUGUGUACUGUUGUUUCAUGAUUCUCUAAAUGACUCUGUACUUGACUUUGCCUUUUUCACUGGUUAUCGAUCAUUGAUUUUCCUUAAUUCCAUAUAUAUUCCAGCAGCAAAUUUGGACGAUACUGCUUGGAUAAGGGAGCGCAAACCAUGAAUCAUGUCUAGCAUUUUUUUUUUCCUUAAAAUCAUGUUUGUGUGUUUUUUUUUUAUAAUAUAAAAAACAAGAUAAAUAUUAUUUUAAUAUAUUUUUGAAUAAAAAAUAUUUAAAAAACCAGCCGGCACUGUGAUACUAAACACUAUCUCUAAUAAGAGAGUUUGCAAUUUUAGCUAGCGAUCAUUGAUAUCCAGUCGCAUAUCAUUCGGAUAGAGUUGCUAAAAGCAUAUGGUAUAGACUAUAGACACUGAUUUUUCUAGAUAAUAACCAUAUAAUAUAGUAAAGGUGUCAAAAAUAACUUUGCAAGUAGACAACUUUAAAGCAAGGAGACACAAGAGGUAGGGUCAUGCCACCACGUUGUCAUAGCAAAAAAAUAAAUGGGCGGCUGAGAGUGCUUCCUUUCCUUUAAAGUAUCCACAACAUAACAUUAUCCCCGGCUCUAAUGGUAUGGGCGUCAAUUAUUGUUCUUAUGAACACUGCUUCUUCUUGCAUUUUUUUUAAUAGAUCCGCAUUUUAUUGGGUUAUGGGCGUCAAUUAUUGUUUUAUGAACAGUGUUUCUUCUUGCUUUUUUUGUUUUUUUAAUAGAUACACAUUUUAGUGGGUUAAUUCCACCUUUAUGAACAAGGUGACAGGUUUGGAACAUUAGUUUUAGUGGAUUUUAAAUUUUUUUUUAUUUUUUUUAUUUUAUCAUUAAAAAUUGAGUGGGUCAAGGGUUUAAACUUCUUCCUUUUGUUAUUUUAAUCUCGUAUUUCAAGUCAUAAGAUUAGACGGUUAACCUCUUGAUUUUGAUUUUUUUUUAUCCUUUAACAUUAUGUUAGUUUUAAAAUUAAAUUUUAUAAUUUUAUUCAAUUUUGUUUCUAUGCUUUUAUCUUGGUUUUAUAGCUAGUUCACAGAUUUGAGAGGCUCACUUAAGUAAUUUGAUUUUAAAUUUUUUUCUUUAAUAUUUGAUUUACUAGAAAUUGAACUUCUUAUGUCUUUUUCUACAUUGAUUUUUAUGUGGUUAUUCUAUUCUUGUUUUUUCUAAAAUUGAAUAUUGAAUAUUGAAUAUUUAAAAUUUUAUCAUUCAAUUUAAUAUUGUAUUAUUUUAAAAUUGAAUGUUAUUAUUUGUUUCAAUUUAUUUUUUAUAGGAUUAUUGAUAGUUAAUUUAAAUUGACACAAUUCAAUUCAAUAUAUUGCUUUUUUUAUAUUUAAAAAAUAAUUCCCAACAUACCAUAGUCUCAUUGUUGAAAAAUGUAUCAUUAUAGAAUACUCUAAUGGGAUAUUUAUUGUAGCAGGUGUUUUUUUUUUCUGUAGAAUUUUUUUUUUCCUGCUUUGUAUCUUCUACUAUUUUUUUACAUGUUUUUUUUUCUUUUUUCAAAAUUAUCUUUGUUAAUUUUUUUUUAAAUAUUGAGCUAGUUGAAAAAUUAACUAUGUAGUUUUUUUAAAAAAACAUUUAUGGAUUGCUAUAAUAUUCUCAUACAUUGUUUUUUUUUAUGAUUUUUUUAUUAUUAUUUUUUUUCAAAAUGGUCUUUGUAGAUUUUAUUUUUUUUAUAUUAAGUUGGUUGAGAAUUUAGCUUUAUAGUUUUUUUUUAAAAAAAUAAUAUGGAUUGCUACAGUAUUUCCCCUACAUAGUUUUUUUUUUUGCUGCAGUGUUUCCCCACAUGUUUUAUUUUUUUUGCUUUUGUUUCUUUUUUUUUUCUUCCGUAACAAUUUUUUUUUCCGCUUUUGUUUUUUCUGCUUUUUUUUUAACAUGUUUUUUUUUCUUUUUUUUUUAACCCAAAAUUGACUUCUUCUUCUUCAUCUUUUUCUUUUUUUUUUUCAAAAUUUUUUUUUCUAUUUUUUUUUAAAUAUUGAGCUGGUUGAAAAUUUAACUAUGUAGUUUUAAAAAAAAAAACAUUGUGAAUUACUAUAAUAUUCUCAUACAUUGUUUUUUUUUCUUUUUAUGAUUUAUCUAUUCUUUUUUUUCUUUCAAAAUGGUGUUCUUAGAUUUUUUUUAUAUUAAGUUGGUUGAAAAUUUAGCUUUGUAGUUUUUGUUUUGCUGCAGUGUUUCCCCACAUAUUUUUAAAAAAUUAUCUUUAUCAAAUUUAUUUUUUUAAUAUUGAGCUAGACGAUAAUCUAACUUUAUUUUUCCCCACAUGUUUUUUUAUUUUUUUUUAUAUUUUUCCAAAAUUGUCAUUUUUUACAUAUUUUCUUCUUUUUUUUGCUUUGUUUUUUUCAGAAUUAUUUUUUUUAUUUUAUUUUUUUGCUAUUGAGUUGAUUGAAAAUUUAGUUUUUUUUUGUUUUUUUCUUUAAAACACUAUAGUUUUCCCCGCGUGUUUUUUGCCGCUUUUGUUUCAUUUUUUUUACAUUUUUUUUACCCAAAAUUGACUCUUUUUUUUUUGAAAAUAGUCUUUGUCGGUUUUUUUUUAAUAUAUUAAGCUGGUUGAGAACUUAGUUUUUUAGUUUUUAAAAAAAAACACUAUGGAUUGCUACAAUGUUUCCCUUGCAUGGUUUUUAUUUGGCUGCAGUGUUUCCCCAACAUUUUUUUAAAAAAAUUAUCUUUUUUGAAAUUAUUUUUUAAAUAUUGAGUUGGUUGAGAAUUUAGCUUUAGCUUUAGCUUUCCCUACAUUUUUUUUUAAAAUUUUUCCCAAAAUUGUCUUUCUUCUUUGUAUUUUUUUAUCAUAAUUAUUUUUGUUAAUUUCAUUUUUUUACUAUUCAGCUGAUUGAGAAUUUAGUUUUGUAAUUUUUUUCUUUAAAAUACUAGAUUUCUACAGUGUUUUCUAUGUGAUUUUUUAUUAAAUAAUUUUUUUUUCUGAAUUAUCUUUAUCGAUUUUUUUUUCAUAUUAAGCUGAUUGAGAAUUUAACUUAUAGUUAUUUAAAACACUGUGUUUUCCCACAUGAUUUUUGUCUUGCUACAAUGUUUUUGCACAUGUUUUUUUUAUCGAUUUUUUUUUCCAAAUAUAUUUUUGUCAAUUUUAUUUUUUUUCAUACUGAACCGGUUAACAAUUUAGCUUUCUUUUCCUUAAAACAUCGUUGAUUGCUACAGUGUUUUACCUUAUGAUUUUUUUAGUUAUAUAUUUUUUUAAAUUAUCUUUGUCGUUUUUAUUGUUUUUAAUAUUGAGCUGAUUAAAAAUUACAACUAUAGAUUUUCUCAUGAAACACUAUAGAUUGUUAUAGUGUUUCCCUGCAUGUUUUUUUUUUAUAUUUGUCAAAAUUAUCUUUAUUGAUUUUUUUUAAUAUUGAGCUGGUUGAGAAUUAUAGUUUUAUAUUUCCUCACAAAACACUAUAGAUUGCUACAAUGUUUUUUUAAAUGAUUUUAAUAUUGAGCUGGUUGAAAAUUGAGUUUUAACUUUUCCCACGUGUUUUUUUUUAUUUGUUUUUGUUUUUUGUUUUUUUUUCUUCCAAAAUUGUCAUAUUCUUUUUUUCAUUGUUUUUGUGUUUUUUUUUCAUAAUUUUUUUUUUGUCGAUUUUUUUUUUUAACAUUGAGCUGGUUGAGAAUAUAGCUUUGUAGUUUUUUCAUUUAAAAUAUUUGUGGAUGGUAACAAUUUUUUUUAUAUGAUUUUUUUCACAAAUCCAUGAUAAUGCACAAGCAUGCUACAAGCCCGCGGCAUCGCGCGGGCAUGUCCCGCCUUUGACUAUUAUAUUUACUUAUUAAUAUAUUAUAUUAUUAUAAUUAUUAUAUUAUAAUUUAUAAUUAUAAUUAUUAUAUUAUAAUUAUAAUUAUAAUAAUUAUUAUAUUGUAUUAUAUUAUAUUUUUUUGUCGAUUUUUUUUUUUAACAUUGAGCUGGUUGAGAAUAUAGCUUUGUAGUUUUUUCAUUUAAAAUAUUUGUGGAUGGUAACAAUUUUUUUUAUAUGAUUUUUUUCACAAAUCCAUGAUAAUGCACAAGCAUGCUACAAGCCCGCGGCAUCGCGCGGGCAUGUCACACCUUUGACUAUUAUAUUUACUUAUUAAUAUAUUAUAUUAUUAUAAUUAUUAUAUUAUAAUUUAUAAUUAUAAUUAUUAUAUUAUAUUAUAAUUAUAAUUAUAAUUAUAAUAAUUAUUAUAUUGUAUUAUAUUAUAUUAUGUUAUAUUAUAUAAAUAUUUUUUCUUUUUAAUUUUUUAGUGAAUUAUUUUUGUUUGAUUUAAUUUGUUAAUGUUAAUUUUUUUUUAUUUAGUUAUUAGUUUUUCAUGAUACGGAUCUCGGGUUUAAUGGGUUAACCUGAUUUGACAAUUAUUUUUUCAUUUAGUUUAGUUUGUUAAAGUUAAUUUUCUUUCUAUUUAAUUAUUAUACUUUCAUACUUUCAUGACACGUGUCCUGGGUGUGACGAGUUAACUUGGUUUGACCGGUUAACCCAGUUAAUUCUGGGUAAACCCGUCAUUUUUUUUUCUAUUUAGUUAUCAAGCUUUCAUGACUCGAAUCCCAGGUUUUACGGGAUAACCUGGUUUAAAGGGUUAACCAAAUUAAUUCAAUUUUUUUUUCUUUUUCUUCAUUAGUUUUUUUCUUCUUGUUGAUUUUUUUUCUUUUUUUUUAAUUAAUCUAUUUAAUUAUCACACUCUUAUGACACGACAUUAUAGCCAGACCCACAUCCAAUAUUCUUUGGUCCGGUGUUGCAGACAGAAUCUCUUAAACUUGGGUCAUGCAAGUUUAGUUUUAUUAUUAAUAUUAUAAAUAUUACUUUUAGGUAAGGCGUUGCAGCCAAACCCAAGAUUCUUGGGUAUAGUUUUGCAGAAAAACCUAAAAAUUUUAAAUUUUUAUUUGUUUUAAUAUUUUUUAUGUAAAAAAAAUUACCCGCAACAUCGUGCGGGUCAUGUAUCUACUCUAAUCUAAUACGUGUCAAAUCUUGCAUUAUUGCUGAUUUUUUUUUUUUUUAUCUUAAGAAACAACACGUCAAUUUUUUUUGUUUGAAAAAAAUAAUAUUGCACGCACAACAAAUGCGAGUGAAUGAAGUAGCCACACUGCAUUGUUUGAAAAUUUCCCCUCUUUUUUAUUUUUUACAUGCUGUACAGUGAAAAAAGAGAGUUGUUGCCGCAGCAGCGUACGGUCAAGCCACCUAGUUAUAUAUUAAAUAAAACGAAAACAGUACUUGAGGUCAUUGGCUAGCGGGAAAAGAGACUUAUUUUCUUCCUCUGCACCGGGUUAGAUUUUUUUUGUGCAUUUAUAUAAUUAGUUGUGAUGUACUGAUGUGUAUAAACUGAUUUAAAUAUUCUAGAUUAUAUAUAUAUAUAAAAAAAAAAACAAAUCCACAAAAAGCAAUCACGAGCCACGAAUUUUGCCAGGGUUGAACUCUAGGUAGAAUGCGUUGAAUACAAGGGCCACCUAAGCUAAGAAACAAGACUUUAAGUUACCGAAAGAGGCUGGCAAGUACUUUUCAGACAUGGAAAACGGACAGAGAAUAUGGUAAAAGAUUCAGUUUUUCAUUCAUUUGACCCUGUAGGUUUCUUCGUGUAAGUUUUUCAACUCUAUUUUUAUCACGUUUUAGUCAUGAGUUAUAAAAUAAAAAAAAUCAUAAAAAAUAUAAAAUUAUAAUUAAUCAACACUCCAAUCAUAAAAAUAAAAUAAAAUAAGCAUGGUGUCCGUAAUAGAGGUGAUUUUGUAUCUAACUAUACUAAAAAAAAAAAAAUCAAGAAUUUGUUUUUGUUUUUACCUGGUUAUCCUCAUAUCCUUUUAGAGGGUGAGAUUAAUUCCGUUCGAGGUUUGUGGUUGCUUCUUCCAACAAGUACACUUUUUAGAUAUUAAACUUGUAUUUUUAUUUUUACAGGGAUAUAGUAGUGUUUUAAUUGCUACACCAAUAUUUCAUUUAUAUUAAAAAAUUAGGACUUAUAAUGAUAUUUUUAAUUCGGUUUGAAUUUCAAGUUUUAUAGUGAUUAAUUUUUUUUUACAGUUAAAAUGAAGUUUUCAAGAUUUAUAAUUCGGUUUGAAUUUCAAGACUUAUAAUAAUAUUUUUAAGAUUUCCAUGAUAUUUUAGAAGGUUUUAGUUACAAAUAAAGUUUAAAAUUGAGUUUUAAAUAUAUAAACUUAAACACCAAUUUUCUAGCUGCCAAAAAUCCACCGGAGUAUAAGACGGAUGACUUGUCAUCUGAUAUGUUAAAAAAAUUUACAAUCCUCCUAUUUAAGUUUUUUUUAAAAAACAGAGUGAGAAAGAUAGGUGCGUGAUUUUAGCUUUCCAAUCCUAUGUGUUCCUGGGGUAAUCUUUUGGACGUGCACAAAGCUGUCCUCCAAAAGCUAGGUGCCCGUAGCUCUUUCGUUAUAUAGAUUGUAACAUUGUUUUAUUUCUUUUUUUAUUUAAAUUCUUAGAAUAAAGUUUUUUUUUUUAUAACUUUAUUAAAAUAAUAUUUAACUAAUUAUCCAAUUAUAUCACAGUUUUCAAAGAAUUAGAGUAUAUUUUUGUAAUAUUAACAAUUAUAGGAUGAUUAGUUAUACAUUAACUUAAUAUAUGUAAUUUUUUUUAAAAAUAAUUUGCUAAUCAACCAUCAAUAAGAAUAUAAUAUUCAUUUUGUUAUUAUAAAUAUUUUAUAUAAUUUUCUUAGAUUAUUAUUUUUAUAUUUACUAUUACUUAUAUAUAUAAAAAAUCAAAAUAAUAUUAUUUUAAUAAUAUAUUUAAAAAUUCCUUCAUCUAUCAAUCACUGAAUUAAUUUAGUUGUACAUCAACUCGUUGAGUGAUUUGAAUUUAUCUAGCAAACAUCUAUCUUAUUUUAAAAAAGAAAACCGGGCCCAAGUUAAAUUUUAGAUUAAUAAAUCAUUGUGUCGAUUCGCUGAGUUUUUGGAAUUUAUUGUGAUAAAUUUAUAAAUAUCAGGUAUUAAUUAUUUUGAUUUACUAGAUACCAUUUUCUAUUAAUUAUUAAUUACCCGAGUUUUUCAUAUUAAGUUAUCGGAUAUUUUAAUUAAAAUAAAUAAAUUUAAUUACCUAAACUAAAAAAAUGAAUCAAUUAUUUAAUAUAUCAAUUUUAUUUCUAAGCACCUAAUUCUAGUACUCAUCACUGGCAAUCGUUUCAAUUAUCUUGUAAUGUAUUUUCCCGUAGAUUUCUAACACCCUCAAAACUUGCUGCAUAAAUUCGAUGACUUCAUAGUCAGUGUUGUUGUCCAAAACAAAAAUCGGGACCCUGUUGGCUGCUCUAAUAUUCACGAAGUGGCAACAAGUUUUCCUUUUUUUUUACUCGUUAUGCUUCAUUUUUUACGUUUUUAUCUUAUAGUUAAUUUCAUGCUAUCUGCUGGAUUAGAAAAAGGCAUGACAAAUUCAAUUACUAAACAACUAUCGUAGCAAAGAGACUGUCAACAUACGACAAAAGCAUAUUGGAUCCAUUAACUAUUAAGCAUAUUUAAUAACUAUGAUUGUAACUAGUUAUGACUGGUUUGUCUCCCUCGUCUUGAAUGAAGCCCAAACGCUUAGAGUUAUGGAACAGUCCUGUGAAAGCAGAGCCUUGGCGUGGACUUGCAAUCUCAAGCAAGGCCCAGACAAAAAGCGAAGAAGACACAUGAGGGCCUCACUUCAAACUAGGCUUAUAUUGUUUGGUCAUAUUACAAAUUCUCACAGCACACCAAUUUCCUAAUGUCUUGCCAAGGCUGCAUCCUUGCACAAAUGUGCAGAUUGAUUGUCAUAGAAACGGUAGCUUAUAAAUGGAGGUAGGAUAUAUGAUAAGUGACUGUUAUUCUUUCGAUUACAAGUGAAAUGGAAGGCAGCCAUUUUUUCUUUCAUAAUCAAUUCUACGUGGUGUAUAAUAAUGUAUUAUUGUUGUCUAUCAAGACUCACAUGAUAAUAAAUAGCAUUGGUUAUGCUGGUCGGAUAACCUACGGGUAGAGCCAGAGACAUGUCAUGAUGCCAACCACUACCGAGAGUCAUGGAGAAAUACAUAGUUUAUAUUUGAGAAAGAUGCCUUAGCAUGUUUGGGCGAGGCCUACAUAUAACUUCCAGUGGUUUUGCCUUCGGAACGGUGAACCCGGGGCUCUCGGUCAUGUCCACCAUUUUAUCACCAAUUUUCUGCCAUUCGAAACAUUGAAGGAGCGAGCCCAAUGCUAAUGCCAUCACUCUCAGGGCCAAGCCUUCUCCAGGACAGCUCCUCCUUCCAUACCCAAAAGGCAUCAACUUAAACCCAUCUCUCGCCACCUCUGGAUUGUCAAACCUCUCAGGUCUGAAUUUUGCUGGGUCUGGCCAGAUUUUAGGGUCAUUUUGAAUGGCCCACGCAUUUACAUACAGCAUCGUGCCACGUGGAAUGCGGAAUCCUCCAACCAGGCAUUCUUCUGACGACUCGUGAGGUACUAGCAACGGAGCUGCCGGGUACAUCCGUAACGUUUCGUUGAGGAUGCCGCGGAGGUAGGGAAGGUGGGCAAGAUCAGCUUCAUCCAUCAAACGAUCAUGCCCAAUCUGCUCGUCGAUUUCUCUUUGAGCCUUCUCGAGGACUUCGGGAUUGUUAAGCAAAAGUGAAAGUGCCCAUUCCAUUGUAGUAGAUGAAGUGUGUGUUCCUGCCAAUAAGAGCACCUACACACCAAACCAAAAUAUGGUAAUUAAUUCCAUAUAUAGAUGAUGCAAGCAGUGAAGAUAUCUUAUUCUAGGUGGUGUAACUUGACACGGAAACAACUUCUAGCAGUGGAGGUAUCUUACUGCUUGUAGAAAUAUCAAAUAAAGAAGAUGCAAACCAAAUCACCAGAGUGAUCUCCCACACCCUUGUCAAUUCAAUAAUACACCUUGGUUGCGUCUAUGACUUGACUAUUCUGAUACAUGAAGUCAAUUGUGCAUAGCCAGUUUCUUGACAAAAGCAAGAUCGAAAGACAAAAUAUGUCACUUCUUCCCCGCAGAGUAGUGGCGUCCCAUACUAUUUUACUUAAUUCCACAUCUAUAUAAUUGGUGAUAACUAAGAUUUCAUCCACUUAACAUACAAGAACAGUGCUGCAUAUAUUAUGAUAUCGCAACUCCAUUGAUCAUAAGAAUCAGUAAAUCAAGAAACAUGAUUAAAGUUCUUACCACCAUAAGCCCUUUGAUGAUAUCGUCCGUGUAAUACUCAGGUUCAGUUUCUUGCAGGGACAGCAGAACCUGAAUCAAAUUCUUUUUCUUUUCACCACAGCAAUCACCCUCCAGUAUUUUUCUCCGUUGCUCUUCUAUCAAACACUGCAUGAAACUAUCCCUCUUUAGAUUGCAUUCUAUCAAUCUCUUCUCCAUCUCUUUUGAUUUAAUCCACGGUAUAUAGUCUCCAAUAAUGGUUUUGCCACCUAGCAAGAAGCUUUCAGCAUGAAUUGCACGAAACCUUUUGGCUUCUUCCACAUCAGAAACAUUCUCUCCAUAAUAUCUCUUUCCAGCUAUCAUCCGCAUCAUGAUGUUCAGUACCAGUUCGAAGAAAACUGUCCUCAUAUCUACAAACUGGUUCUGAUCACGGAAGAGAACACAAAUCAUUGACUUCACCUCCUCCAGACGUAUGGCAGAGAGCAUUUGGAGGCGGUAUGCAGACAAGACUUCAAUAGAGACGAUCUUCCUAAGGUUUCGCCAGUGGUCGCCAUAGGGAGCCCAAACAACGCUUGUGCCGUUGUAGGCGAGGUGUUUCGCAAUGAGCAAACGUGGGCGGUUUGCAAAGACAACAUCAUUUUUGGUAAAGCAUUCUUCAGCUAUUGAAGGGGAUGAGACAACAAGCAGUCGACGAGAACCUUGUUGGAGCAAGAUUACGGGGCCAUGUUUAUUGGAGAUUUUUGAUAGUGUCCUGUAAAGUGGCUUCUUCAGUAGGUAGAGAUGGCCAAUGAUUGGCAGUGAAGGGAAUGGACUAGGUGGGAAGUUUCUUAUCUUGUUGAGGAAGUGAGUAGUUAUGACAUACAAGGCUAAAAACACAGGAAAGUAGAGAAACAAGGUUGCCAUGGAUUUGCUAAUGGCCACAGUCCUUGUUUUUGAGGAAGGUGUAUUACUUCUAUGUGUCUUGAUGAGGCUAUCUAUAUAUGAAUGGAGUCGGCGUUUGUUAUUGUGUUUUGAAAUGUUUUUUUAAUAAAAUUGAAUUUUUAUUUUGUUUUUAAUUGAUAUAUUUUUUAUAUUUUAAAUUAUUUAAUUUUUACAUUAAAAAUAAUUUUUUAAAAAAUAAAAAAUAUUAUUUUAAUAUAUUUUAAAAUAAAAAAUAUUUUUAAAAGUAUCCAUCAUCACCCUUUUAAACAAACUUUUAAAUUCUUUUUAAAAAUAAAUUUAUUUAAAAAUAUAUUAAAUAAUUUUUUUUACAAUUUCAUUGUAUUAAUAUUAAAAAUUAAAAAAAAAAAAAUUUAAUAUAUUUUUAAUAAACAAAAAAAGUCGUGCCUGCUUAUCUUAUCUCGUCGAUUAAAAAAGGAAGUGCUAUUGACGUUAUGAGGUCAGUGCAAACGCAUUAGUACAUGCAUAGUUACUACCGGUCACUGUCCAAGUUUGAGGUUACAAAUUCUGUGAACUGAAACAAUUAAUCCAAAGCUUUGAAGAUUUUUUUUUUAAUAUUAAAUCAACACCAUUAAAUUUUUUUAUAAAAAAUAGUUUUAAUUGUUUCAAUUAAAUUAUGAAUUAGCUUAUUAGUCGGCGCUCCAUCUAAUAUCAUACCAGAUCUUUUUAAAUAUAUAAAAUAAUAAUGUUACAAGCAUGAAGAUUUUUUUUUACAGUUUCAUUAAAAUUGGUUAAACAAUCAAUCUUAAAACUUUCCCAGUCAUCUAUUUUUCUAACUCAGUUUUUAAUUAAAUAAUAUAAGAACUUAACCGACUUAAAUCAAUUGAUUUUAUAAAUCUAAAUAUAAUAUCGAUCACCAAUCAAAAGAUGGCUUAGUUUUUAAAAAAACUCAAAAUGAUAACCUUUUUACAAAAUAUUAAAACAAUGAUAGAUUGGAUCGACCAUGAUCCAUCCGUAACCCAGAUCAUGGACUAUAUUGGCUUUAAAAACUUUUUUUAAUUAAUUUUUAUUUAAUUAUAUAAUAAAAAUAUAUGCUUGUAAAGUUGAGAAUUAACCUAAAAAUAGAUAUUUAUCUGAAAAAUAAUAAUCCUAUAGAAAACAAAUAAAAUAAAUCAUAAAGCCUAUUUUCAACUAAUUCAAUAUUAAAUAAUAAAAUAAAAAAAUAAAUUAAAAACAAUUAAAGGCCCAAAAUUUUUUUUGUCAACGGGUAAACUAGUCAAUCUAUAAACCGGGUAACUUGAGUUAGUAUCUCAAACCUGUGAAUUGGGUUACGAAUCACAUUGGGAUUAUAAUUUGUUUUUUUAAGAUUAUUUUUUAUUUAACUAAGUAAUAAAAAAAUAAACAAUCACAAAAUCAAACACUAGUCUAGUACGAGAUGUUUUUUUUAAGACCGCUAUAACUUUACAGAAAACGAAAUGGAACCAAUUAUAAAAUUGAACUAUCAACAAAUCCAAUAUCCAAAAAUAAAUUAGAAAUAAAAUAACUAAAAAAAACUCGCAAGACUCAUGUGCUAGGUCAACCAGCCAAAGCUGUGAAUGAUUCCAUAGACUUUAUAAAUUUUAAUAACUUGGCUUUUCUCAUAAAUUAUUUUUUUAACUAUACAAGGGAACAAUAAAUGAUAAAAAAAAAGAGUCAAGUUCAAUUAAAAAAAACUCCCAGCUAAAUUUGUAAACCAGGACGACCUAUAUUACUUUGGUAAAAUCACAAACCACAUUGACCCUGUAACAGCCCCAAUAUUUGUAUUCAAAACAUAUAGUAAAGACAUGAUAAUUCAAUUAAGAUAAGGGAUUUUUUUUUUCCUGUAAUCAGUAAAAAAUUUGGCAGAGUUUCCUCUAUAUUAUUAGGUACCAAGUUAUCGACUUUUCUUCCACAAUCCCCAAUUAACAAAUCUCUUACUUGUCCUAUCAUCCAGGACAUCAUCCUCUCAUUACAUCACAACUUCUCAAUAAUUAAAUUCACAUAUGUCUAAACAAUUCAAUAUCCCAUAUUUACAUGGAUGCAAUCUAAAGAAUUAUUUUAAAAACUGUAACUAGAGUACAUUAAUAAGGAUCGUUAACGAAAUUGUAAUCGAAAUAAGUUCAUAAUUAAAGCAGAAAUUCAUAAUAUAAUUAUGCUACACAAAAAGCUUUCGAUAAAUUGUAGACGCAUUAUAUUACAUAACAAAAGGAUAAAUUCAUUCAUUACAACAUGAUAUUCAACAAAAUAUAAAGGAACUAAUCUAAUGUUCAGUCCUGUAGGGGGAUGUACUUGAUGAAAAUAAAAUUUAAUACAAUAAUUCAAUUAAAAUAAAAAAUAAAAAGACAUUUAUAAAAUUAUUUCUACUUUCUUUCUUUCUUUCCUUUUUUUUUUUUUGUAAAUUUAGUCAAAAGAUCAUUAAAUUAACUUGCUCAUCUAGUAUUAUUAAUAUCAAUUAAAUUUCAGAAUAAUCUACUAGUCCAUUCAACAAGCACGGUUGUCAUCAGUCCAAAAAACUAGUUCAACAUUUCACCCAUUCAUCAGGGUACAAAUCCCAUUAACCAGGAAUUCAUUAUUCAUCUUGCCCAUUUGCCAGGGAACUAAUUCCAUUAAAUCAGGAAUUAGUUCAAUAACUUACCCAUUCGCCCAGGGUAUUGAUCCCAUUAACCAGGGACUCAAUUUCUUACAACGCAUUCACCAGGCAUAAUCCCAUUCAUUCAGAAUUAAUUCAUCAUAUCACAUAUCUUAUUUUCUCAAGUAAACAACAUAAUAAUUUCUAAUAUAUCAACCACAAUCAAUCCGAUAAAAAAAUACAUAUUGUCUAAUGUUAAAUUCAGGUAUCGUGUAAUUACCUGAUGACUGAGCUCGAGCCGUAGUUCCCUGCUGUGAUGUCGGCCUGGCAGCCUCUCCUGAAUUGACAUGUAUAUCGCAUCAUUAAUCUACUUUCCAUAUCGAAACACUCAAUAAAUAAAAUCCUUCCAAUUAUCCUUUCAUUUGACAAAAUAAAAUUUAGAGAGAAACAUGAAAAAUUCCCUUCCUAUUCUUCAAUUUCCGCGUUGUAACACAUAACAUUUCAUCAUUCAAAUAUAUAUAUAUAUAUAUAUAUAUAUAUUCUUUAAAUGUAUUUAUUUUACCAAAAUUUAAAUUAAAGGUAAACAUAAAAAAUUCAUGAUCCAUUCUCUCUUUAACAUUAAUAUCAUCUCUUUCCUACACAAUCUCAUCAUCUUAUUCAAAUUCCUAAAUUUUAUUCCUCUUAAUAUUAUUUUUCAAAAAAUCUCUUCUUCAAGAACACCUAAAAUUUUGCUUCAAUUUCCAUAAUUUCCUACUUUCUCUACUCACUUCAACAAUCUUAACACAAUUUCACAAUCAAUUAUAAUUUCCUCCAAAAUUUAUCAUGAACCCUAAUUCCUCAUUUCACAAAGUUCAAUCAAUUUAAAUAUUUAUUCAUCAAGAAUCUUAUUUAAAAGUGUAAGGGCACUUUACCAAAUAAUAGCUAAAGCUUUAACACUUUUGUAUUGAAACUUUCCUUGCUUGAAUUAUUUCUACUCCUCUCUGGCCGAAUGCUUCUUCUUCCUCUUUGAAAGGUAAGUUUAGUUUUAUUUUUCUUUCUCCUUCCAGCACACACUUGCACUCACACACACACACACACACACAUAUAUAUAAUUAACUUUUUUAAAAAUACCAUCCAUGUCCUUAAUUUUUUUCUUCCGCACACACUUGCACUUAUAUAUAUAUAGCUUUCUUUUUCUUUUUCUUUUUUUUUAAUACUAUCCAUGCCCCUAAAUUUAUUUUUUCUUCCGCACACACUUUAGCCCACAUUAUUUCUUUCACCUUUUUUUUUUCCUUCUAUCCCUCAACAGUAACUUUUAAGAUUUUUAGUAAAAUUUCCAGAAUCCUGAUACCUGUUUAUACCAAAUCUUGCCCGGGUUAUAUUGAAUUUCACUAAGUUACUCGUUGGUACUUUUAGUUUCAUGAAAUUCACUUCUAAAAAAAAUCUCAUUAACAUUUUCGUGUAUAUUUAUUUAUUUAUAUAUAUUAACACUUGACAAAACAUUUUAAUUCAAAUUCUCAAAUAUAUCAUCAUUCUUAUAAUUUAAUUUAUCUAUUUUCCUCAUUAUUUUAUAAUCCUGACUUUUCUUAAUAUCAAUAAUAUUAUCCGGGGUUUUACAUCCUCCCCUCCUUAUAUAAAUUUUGUCCUCGAAAUUGGAUUCUUACCAGUAUUUAUGAAUAACUCAGGAUACUUCCUUCUCAUUUCGGAUUCUCUUUCCCACGUUACUUCUUCGAUUUGCGAACUUCUCCAUAACACCUUAAUCAUAGGAAUUUUUUUAUUCCUCAGUUCUUUUUCACUAUAAUCCAGCACCUUCACUGGUUUCACUUCCAGAGUCAGGUCUUCUGCAAUCUCCAAAGGAACUUGUGGUAAGACUCGAGAUGGAUCUACUUCAGCCUUUCUUAACAUCGAAACAUGGAAUACAUCAUGGAUCUUAUUUAGAUGUGAGGGCAAGGCCAAUCUGUAAGCCACCGAUCCAAUCCUUUCAAGGACUUCAUAGGGACCAAUAUACCUCGGAGCCAAUUUCCCUUUCAUUUCAAAUCUUAACAUGUGUUUCCAGGGAGCGACCUUCAAGUAUACUCGAUCACCCACAUUAAACUCAAGAGGUCUUCUUCGAACAUCUGCAUAGCUCUUUUGUCUAUCUUGAGCUGCUUUCAUUCGGUCUUUUAUGAUUUUCACUUUUUCUGUGGUGAUUUGAACCAUCUCAGGUCCAUUUAACUUCCUAUCCCCUACCUCUUCCCAACAUAAUGGUGUUCGACAUUUUCUUCCAUACAAGGCUUCAUACGGUGCCAUCCCUAUAGAUGCCUGGUAGCUGUUAUUAUAAGUAAACUCUACCAAUGGUAGAUGAUCCUCCCAAUUGCCCCCAAAUUCUAAUAUGCAAGCCCUCAACAAAUCUUCCAGGGUUUGAAUUGUUCUUUCUGUCUGCCCAUCAGUUUGAGGGUGAAAUGCUGUACUUAAAUUCAAUCUUGUCCCCAAAGCCCGUUGUAUGCUUGGCCAUAAUCGAGAUGUGAAUCUAGGAUCCCGAUCUGAUACUAUAGACACUGGCACUCCAUGCAAUCUUAUUACCUCAUUUACAUAUAAUUGUGCCAGUUUAUCAAUCGAAUCUGUCUUUCUCAUAGCCAAGAAGAGAGCAGACUUGGUCAAUCUAUCCACUAUGACCCAAAUAGCAUUAUUGCCUCUUUUCCCUUUAGGCAGACCUGAUACAAAGUCCAUAGAAAUGUCUUCCCACUUCCAUUGAGGUAUCAAUAAUGGUUGUAAAGGCCCUGCAGGCUUCUGGUGCUCCACCUUUACUUGCUGACAUAUACCACACUUAGCCACAUAUUCAGCUACAUCUUUCUUCAUAUUCGGCCACCAGUAACAUUCUUUUAAAUCUUGAUACAUUUUAGUACUCCCAGGAUGAGUUGCAAAUCUAGACUCAUGUGCUUCUUGCAACACUUCUCUUUUUAGUGCUUCAUCAUUAGGUAAAUACAUUCGUUUUCCAAAUGCUAUCAUUCCAUCCUCUAGGAUUUGGAAGGAAGUCCCAACUCCUGACUUCACAUUGUCCCUUAUUUUUCCGACUUUGUCAUCAUUUUGUUGUGCUUCUAAUACUUUAUCCCGGAGUAUCGACCUUACUCGCAAUUGGGCAAUUAAAGAACCUCUAGGUCCAACUUCUACCUUAGCAUUUAACUUCCUCAACUCAAGCAAUUCUCUUUCAUCAUUGUCAUCUAAAACAACAUCUAUCAUCUUAUUUUUUCGGCUAAGGGCAUCUGCAACCACAUUUGCUUUCCCCGGAUGAUACUCUAUUACACAAUCAUAAUCCUUAAUUAACUCCACCCAACGUCUUUGCCGUAUAUUCAACUCCUUUUGCGUCAUUAGAUACCUCAAACUCUUAUGAUCGGUGAAUAUUUAAACUCGGGAUCCAUACAAAAAAUGCCUUCAUACUCUGAGAGCAAAUACAACAGCUGCCAAUUCUAAAUCAUGCACCGGAUAAUUAAUCUCAUGAGUUUUUAAUUGUCUUGAGGCAUAGGCAAUCACUUUACCGUGCUGCAUCAAAACACAACCCAAUCCUUUCCCUGAAGCAUCACUGUAAACUACAAAUCCUUCAGACCCAGAUGGAAGUGUUAACACGGGUGCGGUUGUUAGCCUCUUUUUCAGCUCCUGGAAACUUUGUUCACACUCAUCGGUCCAUUCCCAUUUUGUCUCCUCCCGUGUCAGUCGAGUCUUCGGGAUAGCUAUAGUGGAGAACCCUUCAAUGAAUCUCCUGUAAUAUCCUGCCAAUCCAAGAAAACUACGAAUCUCAGUCACAUUCGUAGGCCUCUCCCAUUUCAACACUGCUUCAACCUUUCUAGGAUCUACUAGUAUUCCUUGAGCUGAUAUAACAUGUCCUAGAAAAAACUACUUCUUUCAACCAAAACUCACACUUACUUACUUUGGCAUACAAUUGAUGCUCCCUUAAGGUUGAUAACACUUGUCUCAAAUGGUGUUCAUGUUCCAAAUAUGAAUUGGAAUAGACCAAAAUAUCAUUUAUGAAUACUACCACAAACUUAUCCAGAUAAGGUCGAAAAACCCGAUUCAUUAAGUCCAUAAACACUGCUGGUGCAUUUGUUAACCCAAAUGGCAUUACUAGAAACUCAUAAUGUCCAUACCGAGUCCUAAAUGCAGUCUUUACCACAUCUUGUUCUUUUUAUUCUUAAUUGAUAAUACCCGGAUCUGAGAUCUAUCUUCGAAAACACCUUCGCUCCCUUAAGUUGAUCAAACAAAUCAUCUAUUCGCGGGAGUGAGAUAUAAUUUAUUUUUUUACUGUUACCUAUAAUUGUCUGUAAUCAAUACAGAGUUAAGGGUCCCAUCUUUCUUCUUUACAAAUAAUACUGGAGCUCCCCAGGGGAAUUACUUGGACGGAUAAAUCCUUUAUCCAGUAAAUUCUUGUAGCUGAAUUUUCAAUUCGGCUAAUUCCGCAGGCGCCAUUCUAUAUGGUGGUUGAGCAACAGGUGUGGUCCCGAGUAGUACAUAAUGGAAACUUCCACUUCCCUAUCUGGUGGUAACCCCAAUAAUUCAUCUGUAAAUUCUCUCACUAUAGGGAUGUUUUGUCAAUUCUAGUUUUUUCUUUCGAAUCUAACACGUAAGCAAGGUAAGCUUCACAUCCCUUUUUAACCAUCUUCCUUGCAGUCAUAACCGAGAUGAUGCAAUUCGGUAUAAUGUUCUUUUCCCCUCUAAAAAUCACUCUCAUUCCAUUCUGUCCCUGGAGAGUCACUGUUUUUGCAAAGCAGUCCAUUUGAGCCUUAUAUACACUUAACCAAUCCAUACCUAGUAUUACUUCAAAAUCCUAUAAUUCCAAGGGAAUUAAAUCUACUCCCAACUCGAGCCCAUCUAUACUAAUCCCAAUUCCCUUGUAGACUACAUCAAUGACUACAACUUCACCUAAAGGAGUACUUAUCAUAAAUCCUCUAUCUACCCUGCUAGGUCUUUUUCCUAUUUUCCCCACAAUUUUAUUAGCCACAAAUGAAUGUGUAGCCCCAGGAUCAAUCAAUGCAUGUACAAGUAAUGAAUUUAACUGUAAAGUACCUGCUACUACAUUUGGGGCGACUCACAAGUAAUCUCUUCUUCAAGAACACCUAAAAUUUUGCUUCAAUUUCCAUAAUUUCCUACUUUCUCUACUCACUUCAACAAUCUUAACACAAUUUCACAAUCAAUUAUAAUUUCCUCCAAAAAUUUAUCAUGAACCCUAAUUCCUCAUUUCACAAAGUUCAAUCAAUUUAAAGUAUUUAUUCAUCAAGAAUCUUAUUUAAAAGUGUAAGGGCACUUUACCAAAUAAUAACUAAAGCUUUAACACUUUUGUAUUGAAACUUUCCUUGCUUGAAUUAUUCUACUCCUCUCCUGGCCGAAUGCUUCUUAUUUUUCUUUCUCCUUCCAGCACACACUUGCACUCACACACACACACACACACAACAUAUAUAUAUAUAUAUAAUUAACUUUUUUAAAAAUACCAUCCAUGAAACGCAAGCUGGACUCUUGCCUCUUGAACUUCAAGCUUGUUUAGGAUUGUGAUUAUGAUUUUAAUUAUAAUUUAAAGUGUUUUUCAUUUAGAAAUGUAUCAAAAUAAUAUAUUUUUUAUUAUUUAAAAAUUAUUUUUAAAAUCAGCACAUCAAAACAAUAUAAAAACAUAAAAAAUUAAUUUUUAAUAAAAAUAUAAAUUUAAAAUUUUUGAAACACUGUUAGCCCGCAUUUUCAAACGCAGCUGAAGUUGAAGCAGGUUGAAAAUAAAAGCAGGCAGGAAUUUGAAUGGGUCGAGGAGUUAUUUUUUAGAAUAUUUUUUAUUUAAAAAUAUAUUAAAAUAAUAUAUUUUUUAUUUUUAAAAAUUAUUUUUAAUUUCAACAUAUCAAAUAAUAUAUAUAAAAAAUAUUUUUAAAUAAAAAAAAUCAAAUUUCUUAUGAAUUUAAAAUUGUUUAUAAAACAAGACUUUAAAUGACGAAAAGCAGUUGGGACGUAAUUUUCAGACAUGGAAAAUGUGGAAAGGACAUGGAUUAAUCUUACAAGUUAAGUACAACGUUGAAAGCUACCAAGUGGAUAUGAAUUUCAUCAUCAGAAAAUGGAGACGAAGACCUGGUUAAUUUCAAUUUAUUUGAAUUAUUCACCAUUAAAGCUCUCCAAUUUCUAGGAGCUGGAUAAAAAAAUGACAGUAUCUCCAUUCUCAAGGAAUCUAACCUUGCUGGAGUAGGUGUUGAGCGUGUUUGGGAGUGUAGUUAUUAUAUUUUUUAAAGUAAUUUUUUAUUUAAAAAAGCAUGCCAAAAUUUUUAUUUUUAAAAAAUUUUUUUGACAUCAGCACAUCAAAAUGAUUUAAAAACAUCAAAAACAUAUUAACUUAAGCAAAAAGAAAAAAAUCAAAUUUUUUAAAAAAUGUUUUUCCACCGCAAUGCCAAAACACUCUCGUUAUCUUUUCCCUGCGUGCUAAAUGAGCCAAAUCCAUUAUCAUCUAGUUUUUUAAUUAAAAAAAAUGUUUUUUUAAUUUAAAAAUUUUUUCAAAAAAAAAAUUUGGUUUGGAAGAGGAUUAAUCUAAAUUUGAAUUAACUGAGUUUUUUUAAAUUUUUUUAAUUUAGAUAAUUCAAGCUUUGAAUUAACUGAUUUUGAUGUCGACAUAGCGAUGAAAUCCAGUCUUAGUUUAUAUAACAAUAUAUGUUAAAUGUUUAAAAGAAAAAGACAAAUUCUACUAGUAAAUUAUUAGAGAAUAAUAUAAAUUAUAUUUUAAAAUUUUAUUUAAGAGCUUAAGCUAUUAGGGUGAGAUGAUUGUUUAACAUAGUAUCAGAGCCUUAAUGAUCAAGUGGUCAAAAGUUCGAGUUUUACAACCUCUAUUUAUUUGAUAAAAAUCAAACACAAGGUAAUAUAAAUCUGUGUAAGUUUUAAGUUUAAAAAGUUUUCAUCUAAAAAGAAAUAUUAAAAAUAAUAUAAAUUACAUCUUAAAAUUUUAAAUUAUUGAAUUGAUAAUAGUCUUUUAUAUCAAUAACUAUACUAGCAAAGGCAAGGUUUGCCUAAUUUGUUUUUAAUAAUAAAAUAGAGACAGGGACUGGAUAGAUUUUAGUUCUGUAAAUUUUCUAGGGGGCCUUUUCUACGUAUAUUUUAUUGACAAGGAAGGGGACUCAAGAACAGCUAUCUACGAAAGGCGGAAGGAUCGCAGAAAAACAUUCAGUGUCUCCCUUCUCUACAAAGUCUCGACUUAAUAGAGCAGGUGCUAUCGCUCCCUAUCGCUAGAUAGGAAAAUUCAUUGUCCAAAAUAACAAGACAAUCCAAUUAAUAAACAAACUAUCGUAGCAAAGAUAAAAAAAAUAAAUAUUAUUAUAAUUUAAAAAAUUAAAAAAAGACUUAAUCAAAAAAUUAAUAAACAAAAUUCAUUUGUUUUUGAAUAUUUUAUCUAUCAAUGUCAAAAAUAAAUUUAAAAAAUUAAAAAUAUAUUAUUUUAAUUAUAAAAGACUUUCAUAAAUAUAUAUUAUAUUUUCAAAUGGAUGGAUUAAAAGAAAUUUAGUACCUAUAAUAAAUUGGGUAUUUGGUCAAUUUGAAUCCAUUUUUUAGUAUGUGUUUGGAUAGGAGGUAGCUUAUACUUAAAAAGUAUUAUAUUUUUUUAAACCACACCUCCAAGUUAAACCAUAGUUAUUAAACUCGGCCCGGCCCGGCGGGUCAACCGGACCGGUCGACGGUGGCUGGACCGGGUCGGGUUUAAUAAAAGACCGGCUGUGGCAACAGCCCGGCCAAACCCGGGCGACCCGGUGGGUCGACCGGGACCCGGGCGACCCGGGCAACCCGGACGAGACCCGGGUUUUUUUUUUUUUUAAAUAUGAGAUAAAAAAAAUUGGUUUAAAUAUUUCAACUUAAAAUAAUAACAUAGUAUCUUUCAAAGUGGGGUUUAAAGCCCUUUCAUAUAUAUACUCUAUGUUUACAUGAAAAAAUCAUGUUUUUCAAUGUGGGAUUUGAAACCCAUUAGUAUAUACUCUAUGUUCCCAAGGAAAAAAUCAUGUUUUUUCAAUAUGGGAUAAAAACCUUUUGGUUUAAAUACUUCAACUUAAAGGGAUAACAUAGUAUCUUUUCAAUUGGGAUUGAAGCCCUUUCAUAUAUACUCUAUGUUCCCAUGAAAAAAAUUAUGUUUUCAAUGUGGGAUUUGAAACCCAUUAGUAUAUAUACUCUAUUCCCAAGGAAAAAAAUCAGUUUUUCAAUGUGGGAUAAAAAACCUUUUGGUUUAAUACUUCAACUUAAAGGAUAACAUAGAUUCUUUUCAAAGUGGGUUUAAAGCCCUUUCAUAUAUAUACUCCAUGUUUACAUGAAAAAAUCAUGUUUUUUCAAUGGAAUUUGAAACCCAUUGGUAUAUAUACUCUAUGUUCCCAUGAAAAAAGUUAUGUUUUUUCAAUGUGGGAUAAAAACAUAGAGAUAUAUAUAUGAAAGGGCUUCAAAUCCCACAUUGAAAAGAUACUAUGUUAUCCUUUUAAGUGAAGUAUUUAAACCAAAAUGUUUUUUAUCCCACAUUGAAAAACAUGAUUUUUUCCUUGGAAACAUAGAGUUAUAUACCAAUGGGUUUCAAAUCCCACAUUGAAAAAACAUGAUUUUUCAUGUAAACAUAGAGUAUAUAUGAAAGGGCUUUAAACCCCACUUUGAAAAGAUAUAUGUUAUCCCUUUAAGUUGAAGUAUUUAAACCAAAAGGUUUUUUAUCCCACAUUGAAAACAUGAUUUUUCUUGGGAACAUAGAGAUAUAUAUCAAUGGGUUUCAAAUCCCACAUUGAAAAAACAUGAUUUUUCAUGUAAACAUAGAGUAUAUAUAUGAAAGGCUUUAAACCCCACUUUGAAAAGAUACUAUGUUAUUUUAAGUUGAAAUAUUUAAAUCAAUUUUUUUAUCCCAUAUUUUACAUGGAUUUUUCAUAUAAAAUAUUAUUUUUUUUAAUCAACCCGGAUAAUCCGGGUUGACCCGGGUUGACCCAUGAAACCCGAGACCCGGCCCCUUGGCCGGGUCAACCCCCGGGCCGGGUUUAAUAACUAUGAGUUAAACACAUACUUUCAUGUCCAGUUGUUCAUUUCAAGUUUCUCUGCCAGUCUGCUCGGUUUUAAAUUUCCAGUACCCACCAAGAGUUCUGGAAUUUUUUUCAUUACCCUCUAAAAAGUUUAUCACCAAUUCAACUAUAUUUUUAAAAAUUCUUAAAAUUUUUAAUUUUAAAUUAUUUUUUGAAUUUUUAUUAUUAUUUUGAUGUAAUGAUAUCCAAAAUAAAUUUUAAAAAAUAAAAAAUAUUAUUUUCAUAUAAAAAAUAUCUUUACCGCUCUUAAACAUGCUUGAAAAUUUGGUGCCUACCACCACGCUGUCCCUUACUGUUUGAGACAUUUGGAUAAUUUUGGAUGGUCCAGGAAGAGUGAGAUUUCCCAACUUCCAGCUUCCGGCCAAACAGGCUCUUAUGCGGCUGGAAGUCUACUUUGCUACUACCAAAUAAGGGAGCAUAUAACUACAAGGCCCAACUCAAGAAAUUGAAAAACAAAAUUGGGCCACGUUUUCUAUGCAGGCCCAUCUUCAAAAUCCCUGUUUUCUACGCGGGCACCACGUAGCGAACUCAUUACUAGAAUAUAUAUAUAUAUAUAUAUAAACAACAGGAAACAUAUUAUAUCAUUAUUCAAAAUCCCUUUAAUAACUAUGAUUGUAACUAGCUAUGACUGGUUUGUCUCCCUCAUCUUGAAUGAAGCCCAGACGCUUAGAGUGAUAGAACAGUCCUGUGGAAGCAGAACCUUGGCGUGGACUUGCAAUCGCAAGCAAGGCCCAGACAAAAAGCGAAGAAGACACACGAGGGCCUCACUUCAAAACUAGGCUUAUUUGAGAAAGAUGCGUAAGCAUGCUUGGGCGUGCCCUACAUAUAGCUUCUAGUGGUUGUGCCUUUGAAAUGGUGGACCCGGGCGCCUCAGUCAAGUCCACCAUUUUAUCACCAAUCUUCUGCAACUCGAAACAUUGAAGGAGCGAGCCCAAUGUUAAUCCCACCACUCUCAGGGCCAAGCCUUCUCCAGGACAGCUCCUCCUUCCAUGCCCGAAAGGCAUCAACUUAAACUCGUCUCCUCUCCCCUCUGGGUUGUCGAACCUCUCGGGUCUGAAUUUUGUUGGGUCUCGCCAGAUUUUAGGGUCAUUUUGAAUGGCCCACGCAUUCACAUACAGCAUCGUGCCACGUGGAAUGCGGAAUCCUCCAACCAGGCAUUCUUCUGAGGACUCAUGAGGUACUAGCAACGGAGCUGCCGGGUACAUCCGUAACGUCUCGUUGAGGAUGCUACGGAGGUAGGGAGGUGGGCAAGAUCAGCUUCAUCCAUCAAACGAUCAUGCCCAAUCUGCUCGUCGAUUUCUCUUUUAGCCUUCUCGAGGACUUCAGGAUGGUUGAGCAAAAGUGAAAGUGCCCAUUCCAUUGUAGUAGAUGAAGUGUGUGUUCCUG
Molecule: long non-coding RNA, 39134 nt
Filed under: Populus tremula
Lineage: Eukaryota; Viridiplantae; Streptophyta; Magnoliopsida; Malpighiales; Salicaceae
Description: long non-coding RNA (PTRE_LNC000892)
Source: RNAcentral